This 1296-nucleotide ribosomal RNA is filed under the name metagenome. RNAcentral describes it as "bacterial SSU rRNA". It matches the Rfam family "Bacterial small subunit ribosomal RNA", at positions 8 to 1325 of the family's 1533-position model. The record is from RNAcentral.
AGAGUUUGAUCCUGGCUCAGGACGAACGCUGGCGGCGCGCCUAACACAUGCAAGUCGAACGAGCGAGAGAGAGCUUGCUUUCUCGAGCGAGUGGCGAACGGGUGAGUAACGCGUGAGGAACCUGCCUCAAAGAGGGGGACAACAGUUGGAAACGACUGCUAAUACCGCAUAAGCCCACGGCUCGGCAUCGAGCAGAGGGAAAAGGAGCAAUCCGCUUUGAGAUGGCCUCGCGUCCGAUUAGCUAGUUGGUGAGGUAACGGCCCACCAAGGCGACGAUCGGUAGCCGGACUGAGAGGUUGAACGGCCACAUUGGGACUGAGACACGGCCCAGACUCCUACGGGAGGCAGCAGUGGGGAAUAUUGCACAAUGGGGGAAACCCUGAUGCAGCGACGCCGCGUGGAGGAAGAAGGUCUUCGGAUUGUAAACUCCUGUUGUUGAGGAAGAUAAUGACGGUACUCAACAAGGAAGUGACGGCUAACUACGUGCCAGCAGCCGCGGUAAAACGUAGGUCACAAGCGUUGUCCGGAAUUACUGGGUGUAAAGGGAGCGCAGGCGGGAAGACAAGUUGGAAGUGAAAUCCAUGGGCUUAACCCAUGAACUGCUUUCAAAACUGUUUUUCUUGAGUAGUGCAGAGGUAGGCGGAAUUCCCGGUGUAGCGGUGGAAUGCGUAGAUAUCGGGAGGAACACCAGUGGCGAAGGCGGCCUACUGGGCACCAACUGACGCUGAGGCUCGAAAGUGUGGGUAGCAAACAGGAUUAGAUACCCUGGUAGUCCACACUCUAAACGAUGAUUACUAGGUGUUGGAGGAUUGACCCCUUCAGUGCCGCAGUUAACACAAUAAGUAAUCCACCUGGGGAGUACGACCGCAAGGUUGAAACUCAAAGGAAUUGACGGGGGCCCGCACAAGCAGUGGAGUAUGUGGUUUAAUUCGACGCAACGCGAAGAACCUUACCAAGUCUUGACAUCCUGCGACGCACAUAGAAAUAUGUGUUUCCUUCGGGACGCAGAGACAGGUGGUGCAUGGUUGUCGUCAGCUCGUGUCGUGAGAUGUUGGGUUAAGUCCCGCAACGAGCGCAACCCUUAUGGUCAGUUACUACGCAAGAGGACUCUGGCCAGACUGCCGUUGACAAAACGGAGGAAGGUGGGGAUGACGUCAAAUCAUCAUGCCCUUUAUGACUUGGGCUACACACGUACUACAAUGGCGUUAAACAAAGAGAAGCAAGACCGCGAGGUGGAGCAAAACUCAGAAACAACGUCCCAGUUCGGACUGCAGGCUGCAACUCGCCUGCACGAAG